Molecule: ribosomal RNA, 323 nt
Filed under: uncultured bacterium
Lineage: Bacteria
Description: bacterial SSU rRNA
Rfam family: Bacterial small subunit ribosomal RNA
Source: RNAcentral
ACGUUAGCUGCAGAAGAAGCACCGGCUAACUCCGUGCCAGCAGCCGCGGUAAUACGGAGGGUGCGAGCGUUAAUCGGAAGUUACUGGGCGUAAAGCGCAUGCAGGUGGUUUGUUAAGUCAGAUGUGAAAGCCCGGGGCUCAACCUCGGAAUUGCAUUUGAAACUGGCAAACUAGAGUACUGUAGAGGGGGUAGAAUUUCAGGUGUAGCGGUGAAAUGCGUAGAGAUCUGAAGGAAUACCGGUGGCGAAGGCGGCCCCCCUGGACAGAUACUGACACUCAGAUGCGAAAGCGUGGGGAGCAAACAGGAUUAGAUACCCUGGUAG